This 406-nucleotide ribosomal RNA is filed under the name uncultured bacterium. RNAcentral's name for it is "partial 16S ribosomal RNA". It matches the Rfam family "Bacterial small subunit ribosomal RNA", at positions 30 to 526 of the family's 1533-position model. The record is from RNAcentral.
AUUGAACGCUGGCGGCAUGCCUAACACAUGCAAGUCGAGCGAGCGGCGGACGGGUGAGUAAUGUCUGGGAACCUGCCUGAUGGCGGGGGAUAACUACUGGAAACGGUAGCUAAUACCGCAUACCUUCAGCUGUUCCCAGAUGGGAUUAGCUAGUAGGUCGGGUAAUGGCUCACCUAGGCGACGAUCCCUAGCUGGUCUGAGAGGAUGACCAGCCACACUGGAACUGAGACACGGUCCAGACCCCUACGGGAGGCAGCAGUGGGGAAUAUUGCACAAUGGGCGCAAGCCUGAUGCAGCCAUGCCGCGUGUGUGAAGAAGGCCUUCGGGUUGUAAAGCACGUUCAGCGGGGAGGCGUUACUCGCAGAAGAAGCACCGGCUAACUCCGUGCCAGCAGCCGCGGUAAUUC